Molecule: ribosomal RNA, 253 nt
Filed under: uncultured bacterium
Lineage: Bacteria
Description: partial 16S ribosomal RNA
Rfam family: Bacterial small subunit ribosomal RNA
Source: RNAcentral
UACGAGGGGGGCAAGCGUUGUUCGGAUUCAUUGGGUGUAAAGGGUGCGUAGGCGGCGCGGUAAGUCGGGUGUGAAAUCUCGGAGCUUAACUCCGAAACUGCAUUCGAUACUGCCGUGCUUGAGGACUGGAGAGGAGACUGGAAUUUACGGUGUAGCGGUGAAAUGCGUAGAUAUCGUAAGGAAGACCAGUGGCGAAGGCGGGUCUCUGGACAGUUCCUGACGCUGAGGCACGAAGGUCAGGGGAGCAAACGGG